ACUUUUUGAUGCGGUAUUUCUGAACUAGCCCAAUAACGCAUCAAAGAGUUCAACAUAAAUCUACAGAGAAUAGAAAAUGUACGAAUCAAAUGUGUGUCUACGGAAGAGAAAAAAGUGGAUCUAAUUGGCACCGUUUCAGUCUAUUGUGUCUAUCUAGGGUUCUCUCAAAAGUUUUGACCUAAAAAUAUUAGCUUCAAACUGGCCCUUUGUUAUCUUUAAAAGAGGUCAUUCUUCGGAUAUGAACGGUCAAGGAGUCUCGCUAGUUUUGCCGAGGGGAAAUAUCGGCUUCUGCGGAUACUCAUCAGAUCCUUAUUCUCUGUUAUUGUGAAACAGUUUUUAUCAGUGGAUCUACGGAAAAAAUAGUUUUUAAUGGAAAGCGCCCAUUUUUUUUGUUCAAGGUUACAAAGAAAAACAUUGUGGGUAUAGAGAGGGAUAAGAUGUAGCACGAGGGCAUUAGGCAUGGGAGGAAUGGUAAGACUUUUGCUCACUGAUAAAAAGUGUGAUGUGCAGUCUUACCCGGUCCUCCCAUGCCCACAGCCCUCCCUACCUAUCCCUCUUAUUUCACUUUGCUCCAAGAACAGGGCUACAGUCUCCAUUGGGACGGGCUUAGCUCUACGUUGGGAUGGGCUGUGCAAUGGUUGUCUGACAAGCUUUAUACAGUAAACCUUGGGGUGUUGCAUAGGUAUGUUUCAGAUUCCAAACGAAAGUUUUCAUCUUGUGUAUAAUCUUCAUGUAUGUAGGCCUCAUUUUCUUAUCUGUAAAGAUUAUCUAUUGUUUCUUAAUUCUUAAAAUGUUGAUCUGAACAUGAUACAUGUUUGUAGUUGUAGAAUGUUGAAUGGUUUCUAUUUCAUAUAUCUUAUCUGUAAAGAUUAUCUAUUGUUUCUUAACUUUUAAAAUGUUGAUCUAUUGUUUGUACUUUGUAGUUAUAGAGUGUUGAAAUAUAUAUAUAUAUAUACACACAUUCGUAGAAAUACUUUGACACUGCUAAAGUUAAAUAUAUAUAACAAAUUGGCAUUUAGGCAAGUUUUUUUUGGCUAAAGGCAAUCGCAACUGCAUCUUGUCAAAAAUAGAUUUUGUACUAUUUUCAAUGGCAUUCCCCAAUAAAGAUCAUUAGACCCACGGUAUGACUAUAAAACCGUCACUUGCAUGGGCUUAAUUGUGUACUUUCUGUGGCUCGCCGAGAUGUUCACUAGGUCCAACAGAUAGGUAUAAGAAGAUUGAUGGCAAUGCCUUGAAAUUUGUAAUGUUCGAUUACAGUUUGGUGAAUGGUAUUGAUUAAUACUACCAAUGGGUGAUUGUGAUAAUAGUAAAUACACUCUUUAGGCUCAGCCAUGUAUUUAUCUGUGAUGACAUGAUCUGUAUAUAUUGGACAGGACAGGAAUUCCGAUGCAGGAACACCUGUAGGUUAACGGGUAAUCAGCAUAAUGAAAACAACAAAAACAUAUUUUUUUUUGUUUUACUUUUUUAAUUUUUGCAGAUGGCUGACGUGGUUCAUUAAUAUCAAGAUGGAGCUACUUUUUUGGUUCGAGGAUCAUCGUUUGGGUGGGUAAUAGUGAUUCCUUAAUUUAAAGAUGGGCUUUCUUAAGUUUGACCGAAGAACAUCAAUUGGAUGGCUGAUAUGGGGUGGUUGAUUUCAAAUUUGUAUCAAAUUUCAUGCACAAGUUCUAGAAGUUUCCAAGUGAUUGAGUGUUGGCGAAAGCAAACCUAUGUAAAGAUAAUUAUGUAACCAUUUGAGGACAUCUUUUGGCUGUUGAAGAGCUGUUUUCCUGCCCCUUGCAAAUAAGAUCUUUUUUGGGCUACAUAUUGAUUCUCUUAGAUCUGAGGGAUAAAGUAUUAAAGCAGAGUAUUUGAGGUAUUGGCGAUCUGAGACAGAAGUGAGAAGUGUUAUCAUGUGCUGUGGGAAGUAAUUUCUGUAAUUGAAAUUUAUUUCUAGAUAUGUCUUCAGUUCACGGGAAUUUGGGAAUUUGCUGCAAUUUCCUGUUUGGAUGUUAUAGUACUGAGAUUGUUGCCUGUUGUGUUGAUGUUGUGUUGGUAGCUUAUCUCAUCAAAGAAGAGAUACACAAGCUGCUGGCAUCUUUACUAGAGGGGUAUUACGAUUCAUUGUAUCUAAAGUCCUGACUGUUAUAGCUUCCAUGCCUUAAAAUCAGGAUCCUUCACAUUUGGUCCACAAAUUUAUUUAAUUCAAUCGUAUUAACUUGUUUAUC
This is a long non-coding RNA of Cryptomeria japonica (Japanese cedar), 2204 nucleotides long. RefSeq lists it as uncharacterized. The transcript is spliced from 2 exons. NCBI's taxonomy places the organism in Eukaryota, Viridiplantae, Streptophyta, Pinopsida, Cupressales, Cupressaceae. The record is from RefSeq and is a predicted model, not a curated record.